GACUGAGGAGCAACAAGCUCUGUACAGCUGGAGUGGAGCGAACACAGAGAAAGUUAUGGGUCGUGAGAUUGGAGAGGGGGAGCCAUGAUGACAGCUGAUUCCUCCCUGAAGUUUGAAGUCCUUGCUAAUGACCUAACUCUAAUUCUCAGACCCAUCAGCAAGGAUCCUACAUGCUUUCUCAGGCCAGCAAGGAUUUUAUUUAUUUGUUCAUGGGAGAUGCAGAGGGAGAAGCAGGCUCCAUCCCUGUACACCAGGAUCACACCCUGAGCUGGAAGGCAGAUGUCUGCCCAACUGCUGAGCCACCCAGGAGUCCCUUAAAAAUGUUUACCCUCAUCACCCCAUAGGUUCUCCCAGAAGUUUUAUAUAUUUACUUUGCAAAUGAAGGUCUAUGAUUUACUUUGACUUUGAACUAAUUCUUGAAAUGUCUUUUUUCAAAAUCAUUUAUUGACAAUCCAUACUUUUCCCCUUGAGUUACCUUGGAACUUUUGUUGUAUGAAUAUAUCUCUGGACUCUGUUUUAUUGCAGUAACCAAUAUAAAAAUCCAUAUGGCAAUAGACAGUUUAUUGAUAAGUCUUGAAAACAGGUGGUAUAAAUCUUCCAACUUUGUUAUUUUUUAAAGUAUUUUGAUUAUUCUCAGUCCCUUUAAUUUUGAUGUAAAUUAUGUAGUCAGCUUGUUCAUUCUUAUAAAACUAUUGGUAUUUUAUUUGGAAAAACUGAUAUCCUAACACUAUUGAGUUUUAACAAUACUGAUCCAUUAAAAUGGUAUGUCUUUCCAUUUGUUUAGAUCUUUUAAAAUAUCUCUCAGCAAUGUGUAUAGCUUUUAGUGUAUAGGCUGUGGGCAUUUAAAAAAUGAUCUGUAAGUAUUUCUUGGGUUUGGAUGGUUGGUAUUGGAAAUUCUCUCUUUAAAAAAUUGUAUUUUCUGUUGCAUUGAUUCUUGCAUUUUAACCAUAUAUCCUGAGACCUCAACAAAUUCACUUAGUUCAGGUACUUGUUUUGAAAUACGUGUAGUUUUCUUUCUGUACACACAAUCCUGUUUCCCAAGAACAGUGACAUGUAACUUCUUUCAGUUCCAUAUGCUUUAAUUUUUUUUCUCUUCUUGCAUAAUUCUAUUUGCUAGAAACUCCAGUGGAAUAUUUAUUAGAAGUUUUAAAAGCAGACUUACUUUUUUUUCUCCCAGAUUAUUCCUACCAGUAUAUCAUUUACAUAUAUAAUUUACCUAUAACAUUAUGUAAUUUUAAGGUAUACAACCUGUUAAUUUGAUAUAUAUUGCAAAAUGAUUACCACUCUAGUGUUUGCUCCAUUAUGUCACUAAUUAUCAUUUCUUUUUGUGAUGAGAGCAUUUAAGGUCUACUCUUGGCAACUUUCAAGUAAAUAAUAUUGUUAACGAAUCAUCUUAUAACUGGAAGUUUAUAUUCUUUGGCCAGGCUUUCCUAUUUCUUAUUCUCAAAGUUAAUAGAGGAAGACUGAAUGUCCCUCUUUAAGUAUGACAUUAACUGAGGUUUUUCACAGAUUCUCACUAUUAGAUUGAGUUUCCUUUUAUUCUUGCUUUGCUAAGAAAUUUAUUUAAAAGGUGUUCAGUCUGGGGAUCCCUGGGUGGCGCAGUGGUUUGGCGCCUGCCUUUGGCCCAGGGC
Molecule: long non-coding RNA, 1631 nt
Organism: Canis lupus familiaris (dog)
Lineage: Eukaryota; Metazoa; Chordata; Mammalia; Carnivora; Canidae
Exons: 3
Source: RefSeq, a predicted model, not a curated record